GAUGAACGCUAGCGGCAGGCUUAAUACAUGCAAGUCGAGGGGCAGCGCGGGUAGCAAUACCUGGCGGCGACCGGCAAACGGGUGCGGAACACGUACGCAACCUUCCUCCGAGCGGGGCAUAGCCCAGAGAAAUUUGGAUUAAUACCCCAUAUCAUAGUUAAGAAGCAUUUCUUGAUUAUUAAAGAUUUAUCACUUGGAGAUGGGCGUGCGGCUGAUUAGGUAGNGGCGGGGUAACGGCCCACCAAGCCUACGAUCAGUAGCUGAUGUGAGAGCAUGAUCAGCCACACGGGCACUGAGACACGGGCCCGACUCCUACGGGAGGCAGCAGUAAGGAAUAAUUGGUCAA
Molecule: ribosomal RNA, 346 nt
Filed under: uncultured bacterium
Lineage: Bacteria
Description: bacterial SSU rRNA
Rfam family: Bacterial small subunit ribosomal RNA
Source: RNAcentral